RNAcentral lists this ribosomal RNA (253 nucleotides) under uncultured bacterium. RNAcentral describes it as "partial 16S ribosomal RNA". It matches the Rfam family "Bacterial small subunit ribosomal RNA", at positions 524 to 776 of the family's 1533-position model. The record is from RNAcentral.
UACAGAGGGUGCGAGCGUUGUCCGGAAUCACUGGGCGUAAAGGGCGCGUAGGUGGCGACCCAAGUCGAUGGUGAAAGCUCGCCGCUCAACGGCGAGUCGGCCACUGAUACUGGGUUGCUGGAGCACUGUAGAGGCAGAUGGAAUUCCGGGUGUAGCGGUGGAAUGCUUAGAGAUCCGGAAGAACACCGGUGGCGAAGGCGGUCUGCUGGGCAGUUGCUGACACUGAGGCGCGACAGCGUGGGGAGCAAACAGG